Prionailurus viverrinus (fishing cat) is the source of this 563-nucleotide long non-coding RNA. RefSeq lists it as uncharacterized. The record is from RefSeq and is a predicted model, not a curated record. The transcript is spliced from 3 exons. Lineage: Eukaryota; Metazoa; Chordata; Mammalia; Carnivora; Felidae.
UGAAAUUAUUGGGUUAUAAGAGUCUUGGGCCUGAAAUGAUUUGGCUUUCAGAGCCUUGGGCCUGGAAUGGAAAAUGUUCCACUACUCGAUGGCCCUGGACUUCUCUGGUUGUGAGAACCUGUGGUGCUAGAAUGUUCUAGUUCAAAGGUUUUGUGCUUCUGGAAGUCUGGAUCCAGGUGUCUGCAGUCCCAACACGGCGCUCCAGCUUACACCCCAACAACGGCCGUCAGUCUCAGAUCUUUGGGCUGCGAAGAGUCAGGAUCUCAGAGCCUGACACCAGGGGGCCUCAGUCUUCCCAUCUGGACACUGGAAGAGCUUUAAUGGCACCAACAAGCUGAUGUUGCCUUUCGUGACCACCUCAGUCCUGUGCCAGCUGCCUCUUCCAUGGCCCCAGAGAGAACACUGGAUCCCCCCUAACUGCUCCUCCCUGGCCUCUCCAGCCCUGGAAAUGGCACCACUGUUCACCCAGUUUCUUAAGCUAAAAACCCACGGGUGCCCCUGGCGGCCCACAGCGACACGGACGAAUCUCGCGUCGGGAGCAAAAGUCUACCUACGUCUCGCGA